AGUUCAGGACGAACGCUGGCGGCGUGCCUAAUACAUGCAAGUCGAACGGUCUUUCUAUGGAAGCUUGCUUCCACUGAGAAGAUAGUGGCGAACGGGUGAGUAACACGUGGGUAACCUGCCCAUAAGAGGGGGAUAACAUCCGGAAACGGGUGCUAAUACCGCAUAGUUUUCUUGAUUGCAUGAUUGAGAAAGGAAAGACGGCCUUUGUGCUGUCGCUUAUGGAUGGACCCGCGGCGUAUUAGUUAGUUGGUGAGGUAACGGCUCACCAAGACGAUGAUACGUAGCCGACCUGAGAGGGUGAUCGGCCACAUUGGGACUGAGACACGGCCCAAACUCCUACGGGAGGCAGCAGUAGGGAAUCUUCCGCAAUGGACGAAAGUCUGACGGAGCAACGCCGCGUGAGUGAAGAAAAGGUUUUCGGAUCGUAAAACUCUGUUGUCAGAGAAGAACAAGUUGGAGAGUAACUGCUCCAGCCUUGACGGUAUCUGACCAGAAAGCCACGGCUAACUACGUGCCAGCAGCCGC
Molecule: ribosomal RNA, 525 nt
Filed under: uncultured bacterium
Lineage: Bacteria
Description: bacterial SSU rRNA
Rfam family: Bacterial small subunit ribosomal RNA
Source: RNAcentral